This is a long non-coding RNA of Rhea pennata, 809 nucleotides long. RefSeq lists it as uncharacterized. The transcript has 4 exons. NCBI's taxonomy places the organism in Eukaryota, Metazoa, Chordata, Aves, Rheiformes, Rheidae. The record is from RefSeq and is a predicted model, not a curated record.
GCGAGGCGGGCGGGGGGCGACGCCGCGGCCUCCCGCUGCUUCCGCCGGGCGGGGAGAGGGAAGGGGGGCGGGGGGCGACACCGCCCCGCGCCCUCGCAGCCGGCUCUAACGGCCCUGCCCCGGGACGCUGCCCCGCCGUGCGGCUCGGCCCCGGCGCCUGACCGCAGAGGUACCUGCGUAUCCCCAGUCGCGACGUAGAGCCAAUCUGGAAAGCUGCAGUGUCACCUAGCUUCCUUUGUGCCAGAAAGCUUUGGAGGACAAGGAGAAGUUACAGCCCUCGCCUGUUUACCACAUCUCUUUACCAGAGGCUCCAAACCCAAACAGGAGAUAAAGAGAGAAGAUGCACAUUUGAACAUCAGCCACUACUCUCUAGCAAGGUCAUUCAAACCUCCAAUGAAAGUCCCAGCCCUCUCAGCUGACUGACUUCUCUCUACCCUCAACAUUGGAACAGCCAAUCUCAUCUCACCUGAAGUGAUGCACUCCACGUUUAUCAUCAGGGAACCAGAUCUCAACUGCAGCUACCUACCAUGUUGCAACGACUUGAAUAUCAUCUUCUGUCUACACAACGGCUUAAGGCAAAGUGGAAAAUAUAAUAUCGCUCUUCUCUGAUUCUUACCAUAAGGGAGGAGAAAAAAAAAAUCCUAGUCCUGAGAAAUUCCUAGCCCCAUAAAUUCAAGAUUUUAUGUGCUCCAGAUUCUACUUCUACAGAAUAAAGUAUCAUUGCAGUAUCUCAAUGUAUUUCCUUCUUAUGAAAAUAAAUAAUAGCAUCAAUGUUCUGAAUGAAUGGAAGCCCUUUGUACAAUAAAGGU